GAUGAACGCUGGCGGCGUGCCUAAUACAUGCAAGUCGAACGAGGAACUUUAAUCUUCGGAUGAAAGUUUCCUAGUGGCGAACGGGUGAGUAACGCGUUGGUGACCUGCCCCAAAGUGGGGGAUAACAGUUCGAAAGGACUGCUAAUACCGCAUAAGAUCAAUGGGAUUAGAUGCCUAUUGAUUAAAGGCGAAAGUCGCUUUGGGAGGGGCCUGCGUCCCAUCAGCUUGUUGGUAGGGUAAUAGCCUACCAAGGCUAAGACGGGUAGGGGACCUGAGAGGGUGGCCCCCACACUGGCACUGAAACACGGGCCAGACACCUACGGGUGGCAGCAGUAGGGAAUAUUGGACAAUGGGCGAAAGCCUGAUCCAGCAACGCCGCGUGCGCGAUGAAGGCCUUCGGUGUAAAGCGCUUUUAGGGUAGGAUGAGAAAGGACAGUAAUCCUCUGAAUAAGCCUCGGCGAACUACGUGCCAGCAGCCGCGGUAAACGACGAGAGUA
Molecule: ribosomal RNA, 497 nt
Filed under: uncultured bacterium
Lineage: Bacteria
Description: bacterial SSU rRNA
Rfam family: Bacterial small subunit ribosomal RNA
Source: RNAcentral